AUUAAUAAAAGUAAGUUAAAUAAAACUAUAUAGUUUGAAACUAUAUUAUGAGAAAAUCCUUUUAUUAAUA
This 70-nucleotide transfer RNA is filed under the name Diplosoma listerianum. RNAcentral's name for it is "transfer RNA-Ser (UCN)". The record is from RNAcentral. Lineage: Eukaryota; Metazoa; Chordata; Ascidiacea; Aplousobranchia; Didemnidae.